Molecule: ribosomal RNA, 219 nt
Filed under: Triticum aestivum (bread wheat)
Lineage: Eukaryota; Viridiplantae; Streptophyta; Magnoliopsida; Poales; Poaceae
Description: partial small subunit ribosomal RNA
Source: RNAcentral
CUCUUUCUUAUUCUUAUUUAUAUAACUGUCACUUUACCGGGCCGGAAAAGUGACACCGUCACGUCUCAGGGUCGUAUGCAUGGAACAAGAAGGGUCGUCGUACAAUUUCGGCGAUUACAAAAAAGAAGGAGGCGAUCCCUAUCCCUCUUUGUCUUUCCACUUCCCGAACAAACACUUCGCCAAAUUCUUUUGAGUCCCGGCCCGGUUUUUCCCCACUAA